This 253-nucleotide ribosomal RNA is filed under the name uncultured bacterium. Its description in RNAcentral is "partial 16S ribosomal RNA". It matches the Rfam family "Bacterial small subunit ribosomal RNA", at positions 524 to 776 of the family's 1533-position model. The record is from RNAcentral.
GACGAACCGAGCGAACGUUGUUCGGAAUCACUGGGCUUAAAGCGCGCGUAGGCGGCCCGGUAAGUCCGUUGUGAAAGUCAAAGGCUCAACCUUUGAACGCCGAUGGAUACUGCCGGGCUAGAGUCCGGAAGAGGCGAGUGGAAUUCCUGGUGUAGCGGUGGAAUGCGCAGAUAUCAGGAGGAACACCAAUAGCGAAGGCAGCUCGCUGGGACGGUACUGACGCUGAGGCGCGAAAGCGUGGGGAGCGAACAGG